UUUGCGGUUCUUUGGAAUUUU
This 21-nucleotide non-coding RNA is filed under the name Caenorhabditis elegans. The record is from RNAcentral. Lineage: Eukaryota; Metazoa; Nematoda; Chromadorea; Rhabditida; Rhabditidae.